AGAGUGAAAAAAGAAGCGACAACAAACAUAGUAGUGCAAGCUAUAUAUAUAUAUAUAUAUAGCUUGCACUACUAUGUUUGUUGUCGCUUCUUUUUUCACUCUUCU
RNAcentral lists this non-coding RNA (105 nucleotides) under Palpitomonas bilix. The record is from RNAcentral.